This 268-nucleotide ribosomal RNA is filed under the name uncultured bacterium. RNAcentral describes it as "partial 16S ribosomal RNA". It matches the Rfam family "Bacterial small subunit ribosomal RNA", at positions 88 to 354 of the family's 1533-position model. The record is from RNAcentral.
CCGGCGACCGGCGCACGGGUGAGUAACACGUAUGCAACCUGGCCGCCACAGGGGGAUAACCCGCGGAAACGCGGCCUAAUACCCCGUGACGCCACCGGAGGGCAUCCUCCGGUGGCCAAAGGAGCGAUCCGGUGGCGGAUGGGCAUGCGGCGCAUUAGCUAGACGGCGGGGUGACGGCCCACCGUGGCGACGAUGCGUAGGGGUUCUGAGAGGAAGGCCCCCCACACUGGGACUGAGGCACGGCCCAGACUCCUACGGGAGGCAGCAG